Molecule: ribosomal RNA, 497 nt
Filed under: uncultured bacterium
Lineage: Bacteria
Description: partial 16S ribosomal RNA
Rfam family: Bacterial small subunit ribosomal RNA
Source: RNAcentral
GAUGAACGCUGGCGGCGUGCCUAAUACAUGCAAGUCGAGCGAACGGACGAGAAGCUUGCUUCUCUGAUGUUAGCGGCGGACGGGUGAGUAACACGUGUAUAACCUACCUAUAAGACUGGGAUAACUUCGGGAAACCGGAUCUAAUACCGGAUAAUAUUUUGAACCGCAUGGGUCAAUAGUGAAAUACGGUCUUUCGGUCACUUAUAGAUGGAUCCGCGCUGCAUUAGCUAGUUGGUAAGGUAACGGCUUACCAAGGCAACGAUGCAUAGCCGACCUGAGAGGGUGAUCGGCCACACUGGAGGUGAGACACGCUCCAGACUCCUACGGGAGGCAGCAGUCGGGAAUCUUCCGCAAUGGGCGAGAGCCUGACAGAGCAACGCCGCGUGAGUGAUGACGGUCUUCGGAUCGUAAAACUCUGUUAUUAGGGAAGAACAUAUGUGUAAGUAACCGUGCAGAUAUUGACGGUACCUAAUAAGAAAGCCACGGCUAACUACGUG